AACCUCCGCAAUGUGAGAAAUCGCGACGGGGGGAUCCCAAGUGCCAUUCUUAACGGGAUGGCUUUUCAUUAGUGUAAAGAGCUUUUGGAAUAAGGGCUGGGCAAGACCGGUGCCAGCCGCCGCGGUAACACCGGCAGCUCUAGUGGUAGCAGUCUUUAUUGGGCCUAAAGCGUCCGUAGCCGGUUUAAUAAGUCUCUGGUGAAAUCCUGUAGCUUAACUGUGGGAAUUGCUGGAGAUACUAUUAGACUUGAGACCGGGAGAGGUUAGAGGUACUCCCAGGGUAGAGGUGAAAUUCUGUAAUCCUGGGAGGACCGCCUGUUGCGAAGGCGUCUAACUGGAACGGUUCUGACGGUGAGGGACGAAAGUUAGGGGCGCGAACCGGAUUAGAUACCCGGGUAGUCCUAACUGUAAACGAUGCGGACUUGGUGUUGGGGUGGCUUUGAGCUGCUUCAGUGCCGAAGGGAAGCUGUUAAGUCCGCCGCCUGGGAAGUACGGUCGCAAGACUGAAACUUAAAGGAAUU
This 521-nucleotide ribosomal RNA is filed under the name uncultured bacterium. RNAcentral's name for it is "bacterial SSU rRNA". It matches the Rfam family "Archaeal small subunit ribosomal RNA", at positions 345 to 866 of the family's 1478-position model. The record is from RNAcentral.